AUCGCUUCUUGGCCUUUGGGCUAAGAUCAAGUGUAGUAUCUGUUCUUAUCAGUUUAAUAUCUGAUACGUUCUUUAUCCGAGGACAAUAUGUUAAAUGGAUUUUUGGAAGUCAGAGUUGGAAUAGGAGCUUGAUUCGUCCACUCCACGCAUCGACCUGGUAUUGUAGUACCUCCAGGAAUGGUGCACCCCUU
Molecule: small nuclear RNA, 191 nt
Filed under: Microtus ochrogaster (prairie vole)
Lineage: Eukaryota; Metazoa; Chordata; Mammalia; Rodentia; Cricetidae
Description: U2 spliceosomal RNA (ENSMOCG00000010026.1)
Rfam family: U2 spliceosomal RNA
About the family: U2 is a small nuclear RNA (snRNA) component of the spliceosome (involved in pre-mRNA splicing). Complementary binding between U2 snRNA (in an area lying towards the 5' end but 3' to hairpin I) and the branchpoint sequence (BPS) of the intron results the bulging out of an unpaired adenosine, on the BPS, which initiates a nucleophilic attack at the intronic 5' splice site, thus starting the first of two transesterification reactions that mediate splicing.
Source: Rfam by way of RNAcentral